ACCAAAGUGGCUAGUAAGUGUCACUGCGUUACACGUGACAGCCAAAUUCUACCCGCAUUUGGCGGGUGGGCGGGUGCCAAUGUCAAGCCCUGUUUACAGCCCCUGAGAGGUUUAGCCAAAACUAUACCUAUCUGUUGUAGCAGUACUGUAGCUCCCUCCAGUUAACAGACACGGACACAAGGCGUUCUUAUUUACGGGCAUUUAUUAGUCAUCCUCGAUGCCAUCAAACAUGCCGUGAGAACUCAUUGGCCGCGUUAACUCCAAGGAAGUGAGAAAACAGGUAAAAGACCACAUGACCUUCUCCCAUUCCUCCUCUGGAUCAUCCAGAUGGUCAUUGGCAAACUUCAGACAUGCCUGGACAUGCAGUGGCUUGAACAGGGGGAUUUAACAGUUUUUUCUGAUGGCUGUAGAUGUAGUGAUUGUAUGAGUUAGUGAACUGUUAUAAGCUGUUGUAACCAAUGAAUCAAAAUAUUAAAUGUUUGUAAUAUGAGCUGAAACUGAAGGAGCAAGUAGGAGAAUAGGAAACCCUGUUUAAGCAGUUGCCGGCGAGAGAAAGAUUUAGUAUGUCUGUCUUUUAAGAAACAGGACACAGGUUAGAGACACACACACAUAGUCUGACAGGCCAGACAGAAACCAGGAGGGGACAAGAAGAUGUUUGCGUUUAUCCUUAUAAGGAAUAGAACUGGAACUGGACCAAUAGCACACUUGUUUUGUGAAUUUAACGACUCUAUCUUUUGGGCGUAGUAGAAGUAUAAAAUGAUCUGUUGAAUGUUGAUCCUUAGACAUUGUGCGGCGACACUUGUCUCCAAAAGCUUUUGUAAUAAACGGAAUAUGCGGUAUGAUAAUUGACCUGACUCCUGG
Esox lucius (northern pike) is the source of this 861-nucleotide long non-coding RNA. The record is from Ensembl. Lineage: Eukaryota; Metazoa; Chordata; Actinopteri; Esociformes; Esocidae.